Long non-coding RNA from Salvelinus fontinalis (brook trout), 264 nucleotides. RefSeq lists it as uncharacterized. The transcript has 3 exons. Lineage: Eukaryota; Metazoa; Chordata; Actinopteri; Salmoniformes; Salmonidae. The record is from RefSeq and is a predicted model, not a curated record.
CCAGGUGAUCCUACCUCUAGUUCCAUGUAGUGUCCCAGCCAGGUGAACCUACCUCUAGUUCCAUGUAGUGUCCCAGCCAGGUGAACCUACCUCUAGUUCCAUGUAGUGUCCCAGCCAGGUGAUCCUACCUCUAGUUCCAUGUAGUGUCCCACCAGGUGAUCCUACCUCUAGUUCCAUGUAGUGUCCCAGCCAGGUGAACCUACCUCUAGUUCCAUGUAGUGUCCCACCAGGUGAUCCUACCUCUAGUUCCAUGUAGUGUCCCAC